Molecule: long non-coding RNA, 1587 nt
Organism: Bombina bombina (fire-bellied toad)
Lineage: Eukaryota; Metazoa; Chordata; Amphibia; Anura; Bombinatoridae
Exons: 2
Source: RefSeq, a predicted model, not a curated record
UCGAUUUCAGCGGCAACAUUCAGAUGGUAGGGUCAGAAUUUGGCAUAAACAACAUGAAAGCAUGGGCGUGCCUAGGCGGCGGCCAUGGAUGGUCGCAAUAUUUGUGGCUCCUAAUGUGAUCUGCUCAAUCUACUGAUUAUCGCAGCUAUUCUGCAAAAUCUAUAACCAUCAGUCUCAUACCGCAAAAGUUUGAGUCAUACAUCAAAGAACUGUACUAAAAUUUGCAGAGUCUAUGAACAUUAGACCCAGAUCUGGGCAGUUGAAAUCUCGGGCGGCAGCCUCUCUGCAGGGAUUCAACCCCCCCCCGUAAAUCAGGGUAAACAGACUCACGUAUAUUACUGAAGUGAAUAUAACUUUAUGUUAAAAUAAUUGAGCCUAGUACAGUUAUCCAAUGGAGAAGAUAUGUAACCUUUUGAAUGAGCACUUCUCGCAACUUGAGAGACAGCUGGCCGCCACAUGGUUAUGCAAUGGAGAACCUGAGAUACAGAGAGAGACCGUGGAAAUUCCUAAGGCUGAAGCUAACUUAACAGAUGUGGGACAGCCCAUAUAUUAUACACCCUCUAAGCAAUGCCGUAGUUUGCCAUUAAUAAACAAGCAUCACAAGGAGAGAGUUUCUGAAGAUCAUCAAUCUCUGUAUAAUAGAUUGGAGCUAAGCGAGACCUCAUCAUGUUUUGCGCUAGUAUGGCCUACUAAUGCUGUCAAUCAAACUCACAAAGCAGCGGUCGACAUCUCUACACAUGAGGUAAACCCUCAUGUUAUAUCAGAACGGCUAUAAAGAGUAUGCAGCCACUUCUCAUUUGAACACGAUGCUGCCGAGAGUCGCGAUGAUGAGACCGUAAACGAAGGACAGUGAUAAAACAAAUUAUGAAAAUGGUCCUAGGAGCACGAGCAUCUUCUUCCUCACCUUUUCUACAAAAGCCCUCAUGGUAAUAGCAGUGCCCCCCUUUCACCACUUGUACCUAGUAGUGCCCCCUUCUGUAUCCUCACCACCCCCUCUGGGAAUCGCUGGUAUAACUGAAGCUAUUCUUUACCACCUAGGACUUCUUCAUUCGGCAACGACAAGUGGAAAACUUACCGUUAAACACAAUUAUCUGGAAAGUAGGGCUGUCAGCUUCAUGGGAAAAAAUAUAGGACAUGCAAACUGACAUAAAUUAGCAUUAAUAAUUAUACACAUUAACAGUAUAGUUUAGAAGUUAAAGCUGAUGUUAUAUUUCUUUAUAAUUUGAUUCAACCAUGUUAAAAAGAAGCUUUUUUUUAUUGUCUACAGUGACCUGACCCUUCUGGCCAUGCAGAUAAAAUAGUGUGUGGCGGACCUAGAGGAGAGCUUUUAUACCCUCGUCUUUUUCCUGAAUACACGUUUAUUAAUUACAUGUUUAUAAUGUCACUGUCCAUCAUAUCCUCUAUACAUCAGGCUGCGGCUGCUUAUUGUUGGCUUUUUCUUUUUUUCCCAUCAUAACCUUCUGUUGUUAUUGCACAAAGUGUUAAAAUAAAAAGUAGAUAAACACAAUAAUUCAAACAUUUCCUGGUGUUGGUGUGUUUGGAUAACCUAAAUGUUCUCUUUGAUUAAAGUUUUGCCAUUUAAUUAAA